GACAUUCAAGCAGAAGAUCAUUAGCAGUGUAAGGCUCUCCCUUCUUCAAGCGACCUUGAAGAGCUUAUCCAUUGUGCUGAAGCUACAUCGGAUGAAGAGGAAAUUGAUGACACUCUUGCCCUCGGCUGGGACAGUGAUCUUUCAUCCAUUAUCCUCCUCCUCCACCUGAUCCCUCCUUCAGCCCAAGGCCGGAAAAGACCAGGAAGGGCGUCUGCAGCCCAAGCUGAGAAGCAUCUUGUCGUGUUCAAGAAGAGUGGAACAAGUAUUCAAGAACAUAUUGAUGCAAUCAAGUGCACCACUCAACCACUUCUUGCUGUUGGGAUGAAGAGGAGCACCAUCCAUGAGUUCUUCAUUACUCUGGACAAGCAGGUCAUACCAUGCAACUCAACCAGUUCUCUAGGAGCUUUUGACAAACUCUUUAAGGCACACUUUGUAUUUGCACCAUGUACAACCAGAUGCUCCACAACAUGUACACCUUCAUUCAGACAACCAUUUACAACAUAGAUGUUGGUCAAGUCCAUGAGAGCCCACGUGUUGCAGAGGUUAGGGUUGCUGCACUAGUUAACAGAUGACUCACAGGGUGGGCAACAUAUUUGUCACUUUUCACUCAAAGUUCUUGCAUCUGUAUUGUGAGUGAUUUUCCCACAUCACUCAGUCUGAUAUCAUGGGCCUGAUUUGUUUUGUUUGCCACUCUCAUUU
Long non-coding RNA from Sphaeramia orbicularis (orbiculate cardinalfish), 699 nucleotides. RefSeq lists it as uncharacterized. The record is from RefSeq and is a predicted model, not a curated record. Lineage: Eukaryota; Metazoa; Chordata; Actinopteri; Kurtiformes; Apogonidae. The transcript has 3 exons.